ACCGCCAGCUAAGGUCCCAAAGUCAUGGUUAAGUGGGAAACGAUGUGGGAAGGCCCAGACAGCCAGGAUGUUGGCUUAGAAGCAGCCAUCAUUUAAAGAAAGCGUAAUAGCUCACUGGUCGAGUCGGCCUGCGCGGAAGAUGUAACGGGGCUAAACCAUGCACCGAAGCUGCGGCAGCGACGCUUAUGCGUUGUUGGGUAGGGGAGCGUUCUGUAAGCCUGUGAAGGUGUACUGUGAGGUAUGCUGGAGGUAUCAGAAGUGCGAAUGCUGACAUAAGUAACGAUAAAGCGGGUGAAAAGCCCGCUCGCCGGAAGACCAAGGGUUCCUGUCCAACGUUAAUCGGGGCAGGGUGAGUCGACCCCUAAGGCGAGGCCGAAAGGCGUAGUCGAUGGGAAACAGGUUAAUAUUCCUGUACUUGGUGUUACUGCGAAGG
RNAcentral lists this ribosomal RNA (433 nucleotides) under Shigella flexneri. Its description in RNAcentral is "partial 23S ribosomal RNA". It matches the Rfam family "Bacterial large subunit ribosomal RNA", at positions 1031 to 1462 of the family's 2925-position model. The record is from RNAcentral. Lineage: Bacteria; Pseudomonadati; Pseudomonadota; Gammaproteobacteria; Enterobacterales; Enterobacteriaceae.